CCUACGGGGGGCAGCAGUAGGGAAUCUUCCACAAUGGACGAAAGUCUGAUGGAGCAACGCCGCGUGAGUGAAGAAGGGUUUCGGCUCGUAAAGCUCUGUUGGUAGUGAAGAAAGAUAGAGGUAGUAACUGGCCUUUAUUUGACGGUAAUUACUUAGAAAGUCACGGCUAACUACGUGCCAGCAGCCGCGGUAAUACGUAGGUGGCAAGCGUUGUCCGGAUUUAUUGGGCGUAAGGCGAGUGCAGGCGGUUCAAUAAGUCUGAUGUGAAAUCCUUCGGCUCAACCGGAGAAUUGCAUCAGAAACUGUUGAACUGGAGUGCAGAAGAGGAGAGUGGAACUCCAUGUGUAGCGGUGGAAUGCGUAGAUAUAUGGAAGAACACCAGUGGCGAAGGCGGCUCUCUGGUCUGCAACUGACGCUGAGGCUCGAAAGCAUGGGUAGCGAACAGGAUUAGAUACCCUAGUAGUC
This 465-nucleotide ribosomal RNA is filed under the name uncultured bacterium. Its description in RNAcentral is "partial 16S ribosomal RNA". It matches the Rfam family "Bacterial small subunit ribosomal RNA", at positions 338 to 795 of the family's 1533-position model. The record is from RNAcentral.